Molecule: unclassified non-coding RNA, 152 nt
Filed under: soil metagenome
Description: partial internal transcribed spacer 1
Source: RNAcentral
UAAUAAGUGUUUUAUGGCACUUUUAAAUCCAUAUCCACCUUGUGUGCAAUGUCAGUCGAUUUCUUUCGUCAUAGGAGAUCGACCAAACAUCAACUUUAUUCUAUUUAACUCUUUGUCUGAAAAACUAUUAUGAAUAAAACUAAUUCAAAAUA